UGGGGAAUAUUGCACAAUGGGCGCAAGCCUGAUGCAGCCAUGCCGCGUGUAUGAAGAAGGCCUUCGGGUUGUAAAGUACUUUCAGCGAGGAGGAAGGCGGUAAGGUUAAUAACCCUAUCGAUUGACGUUACUCGCAGAAGAAGCACCGGCUAACUCCGUGCCAGCAGCCGCGGUAAUACGGAGGGUGCAAGCGUUAAUCGGAAUUACUGGGCGUAAAGCGCACGCAGGCGGUCUGUCACGUCGGAUGUGAAAUCCCCGGGCUCAACCUGGGAACUGCAUUCGAAACUGGCAGGCUAGAGUCUUGUAGAGGGGGGUAGAAUUCCAGGUGUAGCGGUGAAAUGCGUAGAGAUCUGGAGGAAUACCGGUGGCGAAGGCGGCCCCCUGGACAAAGACUGACGCUCAGGUGCGAAAGCGUGGGGAGCAAACA
RNAcentral lists this ribosomal RNA (427 nucleotides) under uncultured bacterium. RNAcentral's name for it is "partial 16S ribosomal RNA". It matches the Rfam family "Bacterial small subunit ribosomal RNA", at positions 355 to 774 of the family's 1533-position model. The record is from RNAcentral.